This 22-nucleotide non-coding RNA is filed under the name Arabidopsis thaliana (thale cress). Lineage: Eukaryota; Viridiplantae; Streptophyta; Magnoliopsida; Brassicales; Brassicaceae. The record is from RNAcentral.
UAGCCAAGGAUGACUUGCCUGU